CCCUUAGAUGUUCUGGGCUGCACGCGCGCUACACUGAUGCAUUCAACGAGCCUAUCCUUGACCGACAGGUCCGGCUAAUCUUUGAAUCUGCAUCGUGACGGGGAUAGAUUAUUGCAAUUAUUAAUCUUCAACGAGGAAUGCCUAGUAGGCGCAAGUCAUCAGCUUGCGUCGAUUACGUCCCUGCCCUUUGUACACACCGCCCGUCGCUCCUACCGAUUGGGUGUGCUGGUGAAAUGUUCGGAUCGGCCGUUUGUCGCGGUUUCCGCGUCAUGUGGCUGAGAAGUUCAUUAAACCCUCCCACCUAGAGGAAGGAGAAGUCGUAACA
Molecule: ribosomal RNA, 325 nt
Filed under: uncultured eukaryote
Lineage: Eukaryota
Description: partial 18S ribosomal RNA
Rfam family: Eukaryotic small subunit ribosomal RNA
Source: RNAcentral